GACAGAGGGGGCAAGCGUUGCUCGGAAUUACUGGGCGUAAAGGGCGCGUAGGCGGGAUGGCAAGUCAGUCGUGAAAUCUCUCGGCUCAACCGAGAAACGUCGGCUGAUACUGCCGUUCUUGAGGGAUGCAGAGGAGACUGGAAUUCCCGGUGUAGCGGUGAAAUGUGUAGAGAUCGGGAGGAACACCGGUGGCGAAGGCGGGUCUCUGGGCAUUUCCUGACGCUGAGGCGCGAAAGCGUGGGGAG
This 245-nucleotide ribosomal RNA is filed under the name uncultured bacterium. RNAcentral's name for it is "partial 16S ribosomal RNA". It matches the Rfam family "Bacterial small subunit ribosomal RNA", at positions 524 to 768 of the family's 1533-position model. The record is from RNAcentral.